Molecule: ribosomal RNA, 441 nt
Filed under: uncultured bacterium
Lineage: Bacteria
Description: partial 16S ribosomal RNA
Rfam family: Bacterial small subunit ribosomal RNA
Source: RNAcentral
CCUACGGGUGGCAGCAGUGGGGGAUAUUGCACAAUGGGGGAAACCCUGAUGCAGCGACGCCGCGUGUGGGAAGACGGUCCUCUGGAUUGUAAACCACUGUCCCCAGGGACGACGAUGACGGUACCUGGGUAGGAAGCUCCUGCUAACUACGUACCCGCCGCCGCGGUAAUACGCAGGGAGCAAGCGUUUUCCGGAAUUCCUGGGCGUAAAGGGCUCGUAGGCGGUAUGUCAAGUCAAGGGUGAAAUCCCCGGGCGCAACGUGGGAACUGCCUUUGAAACUGGCAAACUGGAGUGGGUGAGAGGAAAGUGGAAUUCCAGGUGUAGGAGUGAAAUCCGUAGAUAUCGGGAGGAACAUCAGUGGCGAAGGCGACUAUCUGGCACAUAACUGACGCUGAGGAGCGAAAGCGUGGGUAGCAAACAGGAUUAGAUACCCGAGUAGUC